GUUCUGCUGAAACCAGUCACCAUCAGAAGUCCCAGGAGUUAAAGUGUCACGUGAUCUCGGUAGAAAUACGCCGGUCAGUGCUAAAAACAAGAGAAAAACAAAACGAUUCUGGAAAAAGUUUCCGUAAACAAAGAUAAUAAUAUUCGAACAUUUCGCAGAACUUUUAAAAUCCAUUAUUUAAAAAAAAAAAAAAAAAAAAAAAUGUGGCACAACCACGAGUCUACAACGCUGAACACGAUGCUGCCACCACCAUGCUUCGCAGAACGCAGCAGGAUCUCAGAGCGCUUGUCCGUAGUGUGUGAACGUGUGUGUGACCGUGCCCCGCGUUGGGUCAGCACCCCGUCCAGUGUGUUGCCCCCAGCUCCGUGCCCCGACUCCCCUGGGGUAAACUCCAGGCUCCGUGCGAUCCUGCGUAGGAUAAGCGUCAGAGAACAUGGAUGGAUGGAACGAACUUGAACACGCCACGUAACGAUCCGUUAGGGUUCAAGAAUGUUGCUAGGAGACCAGCACGUAUAUAAACGCCUUCCUUAUCGCAGAUACAUUCAACUCGGAAAAAGAUCGACUUCCUGUUACAAAUCCGCUCGGUUUAGCGAGCGUCUCAUGAGCGGCUGCGACCGCUUCCCUCUUCCGCAGAGCACAAAAGCGUCUCGUCCACAAAGCCGUGUCAUCCAGGGUGAAAAGCGGCGAGACGGAUGAGCGUUCCUCCCUCGUCUCGUCUCGUCUCGCUGGCCGCCUGUGUUUGACAGCCCGAGCGUUCCGAGGCCGCUCCGGCCGAGCGGGCGCUCUGAGUGGAGCGCCGGUGCGGAAAAACACACCCUCUUUCUCUCUCCUCGCGCUUUCUCACAUUUGAUUAUCUCCUUCUCCCACGGUUCAGGAAGAAAAGAGGACCUCUUGUCAGUUUUCAAGGGUCGAUUGUUGCGUUUUCUCCAAAGAAAAGGCCGCUGCGUGUCAAAUUUUAUUUAGAGGGGUUUUUCGUUUGUGUUUUUUUUUUUUUCUUGGAGAGAGAGAGAGAGAGAGACGUGUGUGUGGAGUCAACGAGGCCGUGUCAUGUUAGCGUUCGGGGAUCUUUAUCUAGCUCUACGUACGGCAUACUUGCACCUGUGGUGAAACAGGAAGUGUGGGCAAAUCCGAAAUGAUUCUGUACGCACGCACGGCAUCAAAAAAGUUUUCACAUAAACACGUGACGUUUUACAUUUCAGCGACGCAAAACGUUUCAAACGCAAAUCAAACCCGGAUACAGUUUGUAGCUGCUUUGUUAUCGUUCCUAUCAGCGAGUUAUUAGCGGUAAGCGCUUUCCUGCAUCUCGAUCGUAGACGCGGUACUUCCUGUUCGCGUCCGAUCGCGUUCCUGAUUGGCUGGCAAUGCCGACCGCUUUACGCGACGCUUUUCAUGAGGUACCCGCGGUCAUGUGACCUGUAGUGGUAAUGGGAAUACUUCGAUAGCAUGUGCUGUACACUUACAUACUGUACAGCGCAGGAUGUCUUAAUUAGCAUAUUGUCGCCAAGUCUUGCGAUGAAAUUCGCCUCAGGAUUACUUCAGCUUCAUUGUCUGAGGAUUUUCACCAACAUCAUGAGGGAUCUACAUACAAGCUUUAAAGACAAAACAGGAACGUGUGUACUGACACAGAUGUAAAAAAAGAAGAAAAAAAAGAAAAGUGCUCUUUAAGGGUUCUUUGAAGGUUCUUUAAGGGUUCUUUAAGGGUUCUUUGAAGGUUCUUUAAGGGUUCUUGGAUAACUGUUCUAGUUUUAUUUUAUUUUAUUUUCUUAAAAAGGAGUUCUACUUGGAACCUUUUCUGGAACCUUCACAGGAACCUACGAUUGUGCUCUCGCAGAUGCUGUUCAUAAGUUUGGAUGUAAAAACUGUUCUGAAAGGAGAACCGUCUGUUGUAAGGAUCUACACAGAACCUUGACCCGAAGAUCUUCGGAACGUACUUGAACAGAUCCAUGGCUGCUUUUUUCGUCUCCGAUGGCGACCUGGAUGGUUAAAGUGUCUAAUUUUCUAAAGGGGUUCUACGUGGAACCGGUUCUGAAAGGAGGAACCAUGGAUUUCGCCAAAUGAACACAUUUCAGGUGGAACGGAGUCUUUCCAAUGGAGUCGACUUUCCAGUUUCCAAGUUCUUCCGGUACGACUUACCACUGCCCCGAGAGGAACAAUAAACAAUAAUCAAGUGUGAAUUCAACAUGGCUGAUGUUUAGAAAUGUUUGUAAAAUGUUUAUGCAUGUCUUUUCUUCUCUUAAUUCCAGGAGCGCGGAUCACGGAGAGAACUUUGGGGUUCCGUUAAGAGACUUAAGCAGACGAGUGCGAAUCAUCCCGAUGACCUGAGCGACGCCGUGGAUUCGUUUCUGGUAACGGCGGACAUUUUUAAUCCUUCUUUGACUUUCUGUCAAUAAGCAAUCACGACAACAACAGAACACUGAGGCUAAAUGAGCCGAAAACACAUCAAUCAAGACAGGCUCCAUCUCUCCACCUCUCUCUCUCACACACACACACACCGGUCGCUACUUGAGGCCAUUGUAUCCAUACACACCACACCCUUACCGCGAUUAUACAACGUGGAAGCUAGCUAUUCUAGUAUGUAAUGUUUAGCUGUUAUGUUUA
Ictalurus punctatus (channel catfish) is the source of this 2598-nucleotide long non-coding RNA. The record is from Ensembl. NCBI's taxonomy places the organism in Eukaryota, Metazoa, Chordata, Actinopteri, Siluriformes, Ictaluridae.